Homo sapiens (human) is the source of this 920-nucleotide long non-coding RNA. Ensembl lists it as uncharacterized. The record is from Ensembl. NCBI's taxonomy places the organism in Eukaryota, Metazoa, Chordata, Mammalia, Primates, Hominidae.
AAUAACUUAUAAGCUGAGACCUGCAGGAUGAACAGGAGUUAGGUGAAGAGGAGAACGAUGUCCAGGCAGGGGCCGGGGAAGCUCGUGCCAAGGCACUGAGGGGAAGUGCUGCAAUGAACCUCAGAGGCUGGAUCUUGCUGACUCAUCUGGGGUACCAAGGACAGACAAAGGACAUGGAGUCCAGGCCCAGGAGGCGAUACCAGGCCAGCAGUUUCACUGAUGCUCCUGUCAUGACGAUGACUGCCUCCCUCCUCCCCUUGGUCCCUGACUCAGUGUCUGCAGUGACCAGGCACCAGGCAGGGAGCAAGGAACCAAGCCUUUCACCUGCUCCCACCAACUCCUAUGGUGCUCCCUUUCCAAGGCUAGGUCUCCUCUCCACCCAGUUCCUUAUCACGUACCAUGAGAAGCUGUCACCUUGGCAACUGUCACCUUCUGGUGAGAUUUACAAUUGCACUGCUACAACUGCUUGUGGCAUGGUAAAGUUGCACCAGGACCUCUGCUGUCCAUGAGAUCAAAGUUCCAGGCCAAGGCACCAGGGGCACGAACAGUGUUGCCCGCAUGGAACUCACACUUAAUGGGAGCGGCAGCCAACAGAAGCUGCAGCCAGAGAAAGAGGGCGACGGUCCCGUCACAUUCUGAGCCCAGCAACGGAGGGCUUUCCAGGCCGGGACUGCGGGCAGAUGGGAAUUCUCCUCUCCUUUCUGCUGGACGUAUCUCCCCUCAGUUUCGCUAUCUGUAAGAUGGGGCAUUGUCCCUGCCAAACCCGCAGGCCAGGACGGCCUAAGAGGAUCAAACGAGGAGAGGCAACGAGGAUUGGUGCCUGGCUUUUCCUGAAAACAGAUUCCUCCCCCGCCCCCGGGACCUGUCCCACAGGGGCGUCUGGAAAUUCCACAGAGCCAGCCAGUCUCAGAGUGAAACAA